GGAGAGGUGCCAGAGUGGUCGAAUGGAGCUGACUGCUAAUCAGUUGUCCUGGUAACGGGACCCAGGGUUCAAAUCCCUGCCUCUCCGCCA
This 90-nucleotide transfer RNA is filed under the name Candidatus Omnitrophota bacterium. RNAcentral describes it as "tRNA-Ser". It matches the Rfam family "tRNA". From Rfam's summary of the family: Transfer RNA (tRNA) molecules are approximately 80 nucleotides in length. The record is from RNAcentral. Lineage: Bacteria; Pseudomonadati; Candidatus Omnitrophota.